GAUCAUGGCUCAGGAUGAACGCUGGCGGCGUGCUUAACACAUGCAAGUCGAACGAAGCACUUUAUUUGAUUUCCUUUCGGGACUGAUUAUUUUGUGACUGAGUGGCGGACGGGUGAGUAACGCGUGGGUAACCUGCCUUGGUACAGGGGGAUAACAGUUGGAACGGCUGCUAAUACCGCAUAAGCGCACGGGCAUCGCAUGAUGCAGUGUGAAAAACUCCGGUGGUAUAAGAUGGACCCG
Molecule: ribosomal RNA, 240 nt
Filed under: uncultured bacterium
Lineage: Bacteria
Description: partial 16S ribosomal RNA
Rfam family: Bacterial small subunit ribosomal RNA
Source: RNAcentral